GCCAAACGUGAGCCUGGCGAGAUACCCAUCCAUGCCUACACUAUAGAGCCCUUACCCAAUGGAGACAUUGCACUGAAAGUAGAGAUCCCCCAAGAUGGAGCCUGCAAGUUGCAAAGAAUUGUUGUGACCAAGGUGCAGAAUGGGGUCUUCCAGUCCCCAGAUGGCCAGGGGCCUGUGACUUUGGUGGACACUGACUACGACACGUACUACGUCGGCCACUUCCUCAAGCGGGGCACCCACCUUCUCCAUUUGUACG
Molecule: long non-coding RNA, 256 nt
Organism: Sceloporus undulatus (fence lizard)
Lineage: Eukaryota; Metazoa; Chordata; Lepidosauria; Squamata; Phrynosomatidae
Exons: 3
Source: RefSeq, a predicted model, not a curated record